This 496-nucleotide ribosomal RNA is filed under the name uncultured bacterium. Its description in RNAcentral is "partial 16S ribosomal RNA". It matches the Rfam family "Bacterial small subunit ribosomal RNA", at positions 29 to 507 of the family's 1533-position model. The record is from RNAcentral.
AUGAACGCUGGCGGCGUGCCUAAUACAUGCAAGUCGCGCGAACGGACGAGAAGCUUGCUUCUCUGAUGUUAGCGGCGGACGGGUGAGUAACACGUGGAUAACCUACCUAUAAGACUGGGAUAACUUCGGGAAACCGGAGCUAAUACCGGAUAAUAUUUUGAACCGCAUGGUUCAAAAGUGAAAGACGGUCUUGCUGUCACUUAUAGAUGGAUCCGCGCUGCAUUAGCUAGUUGGUAAGGUAACGGCCUACCAAGGCAACGAUGCAUAGCCGACCUGAGAGGGUGAUCGGCCACACUGGAACUGAGACACGGUCCAGACUCCUACGGGAGGCAGCAGUAGGGAAUCUUCCGCAAUGGGCGAAAGCCUGACGGAGCAACGCCGCGUGAGUGAUGAAGGUCUUCGGAUCGUAAAACUCUGUUAUUAGGGAAGAACAUAUGUGUAAGUAACUGUGCACAUCUUGACGGUACCUAAUCAGAAAGCCACGGCUAACUACGUG